GCCUUCGUGGCCUAACGGAUAUGGCGUCGUCUUUCGAAGCCGAAGACUGCGGGUUCGAGUCCCCGUCGAAGGUA
This is a non-coding RNA of Paramuricea clavata, 74 nucleotides long. The record is from the annotation of a GenBank genome assembly. NCBI's taxonomy places the organism in Eukaryota, Metazoa, Cnidaria, Anthozoa, Malacalcyonacea, Plexauridae.